AUGUUUCAUAGUCUUCGAUUCAAAGUAGUAGUCUUAUACACAUUUUUUUUAUUGGAAUUAGAAGUGUUCUCUUCUGAUUUAGAAUCAGAGGAAACAUUUUCCACUUCUUCUAUAUCAGUAGUAAGAUCAGAUUCAUAUCUGGCUUCAUUUUCUUCUUCCAAGGUAACUUCCACAUCCUUAUCACCUAACGUAAGAUUCCUGCUAUUUAUGGUCUUUUGUGAAAUUAUAUCAUAA
Vicia faba (fava bean) is the source of this 234-nucleotide non-coding RNA. The record is from the annotation of a GenBank genome assembly. NCBI's taxonomy places the organism in Eukaryota, Viridiplantae, Streptophyta, Magnoliopsida, Fabales, Fabaceae.